GGAGGAUGUGCAGUGGAAGGAGUGUGGGCGCUGUUGUUUAGGGGUGAAAUAGACAUCUCCAGAGGGGAAGGAACUCCCUAUCUGUAUUCUAAAGCUACUGGAAUGCAUUUGGUGACACAGCGACAGUGACUGUGCCAGAACGGAAGUGGUGGUGGGCUUGGCACAGCAUCUGCAUCGUCAGCACAGCACACAAAUGGCUCAGAGAAGGGACGGACAUCUUGGUUCUGGAGUUGCAGUAGUUUUGGACCAAGGUCAAUUUCAGGAAACUGAAGCCAUGUAAAUCGGGAUGUCAGGAAUUGGGGACUGUUGCAAUGUAUUUAGAAAGCACCUGCCCGACUUAUGACUUUCUUCAUCACUAUAAAAACUUCAUCAGACUGUCACCAUCUUGGAUCAUGGAAUUUGGAGUGGCUUAAAUCUAUGUUCUCUGGCUUUCGUCACUCAUGGUUGGCUCUAUAAUAAACGAUUUCUCAUCUC
This is a long non-coding RNA of Mus musculus (house mouse), 474 nucleotides long. RefSeq annotates it as predicted gene, 54247. The transcript is spliced from 3 exons. The record is from RefSeq and is a predicted model, not a curated record. Lineage: Eukaryota; Metazoa; Chordata; Mammalia; Rodentia; Muridae.